RNAcentral lists this ribosomal RNA (1127 nucleotides) under Campylobacter jejuni. Its description in RNAcentral is "partial 23S ribosomal RNA". It matches the Rfam family "Bacterial large subunit ribosomal RNA", at positions 1 to 1140 of the family's 2925-position model. The record is from RNAcentral. Lineage: Bacteria; Pseudomonadati; Campylobacterota; Epsilonproteobacteria; Campylobacterales; Campylobacteraceae.
UAAAAAAAGGUAAGCUACUAAGAGCGAAUGGUGGAUGCCUUGACUGGUAAAGGCGAUGAAGGACGUACUAGACUGCGAUAAGCUACGGGGAGCUGUCAAGAAGCUUUGAUCCGUAGAUUUCCGAAUGGGGCAACCCAAUGUAUAGAGAUAUACAUUACCUAUAUAGGAGCGAACGAGGGGAAUUGAAACAUCUUAGUACCCUCAGGAAAAGAAAUCAAUAGAGAUUGCGUCAGUAGCGGCGAGCGAAAGCGCAAGAGGGCAAACCCAGUGCUUGCACUGGGGGUUGUAGGACUGCAAUGUGCAAGAGCUGAGUUUAGCAGAACAUUCUGGAAAGUAUAGCCAUAGAGGGUGAUAGUCCCGUAUGCGAAAAACAAAGCUUAGCUAGCAGUAUCCUGAGUAGGGCGGGACACGAGGAAUCCUGUCUGAAUCCGGGUCGACCACGAUCCAACCCUAAAUACUAAUACCAGAUCGAUAGUGCACAAGUACCGUGAGGGAAAGGUGAAAAGAACUGAGGUGAUCAGAGUGAAAUAGAACCUGAAACCAUUUGCUUACAAUCAUUCAGAGCACUAUGUAGCAAUACAGUGUGAUGGACUGCCUUUUGCAUAAUGAGCCUGCGAGUUGUGGUGUCUGGCAAGGUUAAGCAAACGCGAAGCCGUAGCGAAAGCGAGUCUGAAUAGGGCGCUUAGUCAGAUGCUGCAGACCCGAAACGAAGUGAUCUAUCCAUGAGCAAGUUGAAGCUAGUGUAAGAACUAGUGGAGGACUGAACCCAUAGGCGUUGAAAAGCCCCGGGAUGACUUGUGGAUAGGGGUGAAAGGCCAAUCAAACUUCGUGAUAGCUGGUUCUCUCCGAAAUAUAUUUAGGUAUAGCGUUGUGUCGUAAUAUAAGGGGGUAGAGCACUGAAUGGGCUAGGGCAUACACCAAUGUACCAAACCCUAUCAAACUCCGAAUACCUUAUAUGUAAUCACAGCAGUCAGGCGGCGAGUGAUAAAAUCCGUCGUCAAGAGGGAAACAACCCAGACUACCAGCUAAGGUCCCUAAAUCUUACUUAAGUGGAAAACGAUGUGAAGUUACUUAAACAACCAGGAGGUUGGCUUAGAAGCAGCCAUCCUUUAAAGAAAGCGUAAUAG